UAGAGUGUAAAGGCAUAAGGGAGCUUGACUGCGAGACCUACAAGUCGAGCAGGGUCGAAAGACGGACUUAGUGAUCCGGUGGUUCCGCAUGGAAGGGCCAUCGCUCAACGGAUAAAAGCUACCCCGGGGAUAACAGGCUUAUCUCCCCCAAGAGUUCACAUCGACGGGGAGGUUUGGCACCUCGAUGUCGGCUCAUCGCAUCCUGGGGCUGUAGUCGGUCCCAAGGGUUGGGCUGUUCGCCCAUUAAAGCGGUACGCUAGCUGGGUUCAGAACGUCGUGAGACAGUUCGGUCCCUAUCCGUCGUGGGCGUAGGAAAUUUGAGAGGAGCUGUCCUUAGUACGAGAGGACCGGGAUGGACAUACCUCUGGUGUACCAGUUGUC
This 381-nucleotide ribosomal RNA is filed under the name Staphylococcus epidermidis. Its description in RNAcentral is "bacterial LSU rRNA". It matches the Rfam family "Bacterial large subunit ribosomal RNA", at positions 2345 to 2725 of the family's 2925-position model. The record is from RNAcentral. Lineage: Bacteria; Bacillati; Bacillota; Bacilli; Caryophanales; Staphylococcaceae.